Molecule: long non-coding RNA, 498 nt
Filed under: Elaeis guineensis (African oil palm)
Lineage: Eukaryota; Viridiplantae; Streptophyta; Magnoliopsida; Arecales; Arecaceae
Description: long non-coding RNA (EGUI_LNC008307)
Source: RNAcentral
CUCCAAUUCGAAGAAUUACUUUAAUCUCUCAGUAGGUACUAGAAUCUAUACAGACUGCAUACAGGCCUGAGGAUGGCUUGAUCAACCCAUAUGCACCUAUGGGUAGGUUCUUAACCAAUUAUUUCUCUAAAUAAUUUUUAGUAGUUAAUUUAGCCUCAGAUUUCAUUUCAGUAAACAAUGGGCCUCCACUGAAAGUUUCGAUUAGGUCAAAUCAUUAACAUGAACCUACUCAAUGAUUCUAACUAAUGAAUGAUUAGGCCCAAGGAUGGCUCGAUCAACCCAACCAUCAUCAGAUAGUAUAAUAAAGUCAUUAUAUGAUGAAUGAUAAUUCCAUCAUUCAGAGAGAACACUAGAUAGAUGGUACCUGCAAUGUCAAUCAGAAAUAAUAAAUCCAUUACCAUUUAUCUUAAUGGAAGGCUAUAAUCCAAUUAUCCCCAUAACUAACUCAUUUUAUGGACCUAAUAAUUUAGAGAAUUUAAUUAAUUUAGAGAAGAGAGA